This 223-nucleotide unclassified non-coding RNA is filed under the name Hevea brasiliensis (rubber tree). The record is from RNAcentral. Lineage: Eukaryota; Viridiplantae; Streptophyta; Magnoliopsida; Malpighiales; Euphorbiaceae.
UAUAUCUCGCAAGCGAGAUACUUAUGGUAUUACAAAUAUCAAUUCAGGAGAUGAAGGGCCAAGUAAUCAGGUUACAACAUUGAGGAGAACUACCUCAUAUGUAGAUGAGGAUCACAUUUUUGUUGGCUUUCAGGAUGUUGUACAAACAUUGCUAGCUCAACUUCUCAGACCAGAGCCUCGUCGAAGUGUUGUGUCCAUUUAUGGCAUGGGUGGAUUAGGCAAG